RNAcentral lists this long non-coding RNA (573 nucleotides) under Phoenix dactylifera (date palm). RNAcentral describes it as "long non-coding RNA (PDAC_LNC004952)". The record is from RNAcentral. Lineage: Eukaryota; Viridiplantae; Streptophyta; Magnoliopsida; Arecales; Arecaceae.
UAUUGAUUGAUAUUGUAGUAGAUUCCUCUAUAAUUUUGUUUCUCCAUACUUGAUUAUCUUGUGCACGCAUUUGAGGGAACAUUGAGAGAAAUUACGAGGGGUUGAUGAGUAAUCAAAUUGAUUCCGAAUUGUGAAAUGAUUUCUUUUGUAAAUUGAUUUCAUUUCCUCUAUUUUAAAGACUUGUGAGUCGUAGCUUGAUUAUACUCCUUUAUGAGUAAUGAAAUUGGAUCUGAAUUGUGAAAUGAUUUCUUUUGUAAAUUGAUUUCAUUUCCUCUAUUUCAAAGACUUGUACAGCCCUUCUCAUGGUAUAUUGAGUUGCAUUGUACUCCCGUGAUUCCUCACUCCCAACCCUGAUGUUAGUUUAUGAUUGGGUCAUGAUCGAGUGAGUGGUAAUCUUGAUUAUACUCCUUUUUAGUAGAGUAUUGGGAGGGUGCAUUAUGGCAUUUAUGCAUGGCUUGGCAGUAUCUGCAGGACACCUAUAGUCGAUGGGGGUUGAACAUCGGCCUUUGUGCACAUAGUAGCCUUCUGGGUGGGCGGAGCCCAGUCCCUUCCUAGGGGGGGACACGGCCCUNN